RNAcentral lists this non-coding RNA (21 nucleotides) under Arabidopsis thaliana (thale cress). Lineage: Eukaryota; Viridiplantae; Streptophyta; Magnoliopsida; Brassicales; Brassicaceae. The record is from RNAcentral.
GAGCAUCAGUAUGGUGCAAGG